UAAGGACCGUAAUGACAACUCAAUGACC
RNAcentral lists this non-coding RNA (28 nucleotides) under Rattus norvegicus (Norway rat). Lineage: Eukaryota; Metazoa; Chordata; Mammalia; Rodentia; Muridae. The record is from RNAcentral.